UACGAAGGGUGCAAGCGUUACUCGGAAUUACUGGGCGUAAAGCGUGCGUAGGUGGUUUGUUAAGUCUGUUGUGAAAGCCCCGGGCUCAACCUGGGAAUGGCAAUGGAUACUGGCAAGCUAGAGUGCGGUAGAGGGUAGUGGAAUUCCCGGUGUAGCGGUGAAAUGCGUAGAGAUCGGGAGGAACACCAAUGGCGAAGGCGGCUACCUGGACCAGCACUGACACUGAGGCACGAAAGCGUGGGGAGCAAACAGG
RNAcentral lists this ribosomal RNA (253 nucleotides) under uncultured bacterium. RNAcentral describes it as "partial 16S ribosomal RNA". It matches the Rfam family "Bacterial small subunit ribosomal RNA", at positions 524 to 776 of the family's 1533-position model. The record is from RNAcentral.